UAGGAAGAUAUAUAUAGAUAUUGAUGCGGUUCAAUCUGAAAGACAUGGUUAGAUAUGUAAUUAGCCUUGUAAUUUUGGAUUGAGCCGCGUCAAUAUCUCUCUUCCUA
Molecule: microRNA precursor, 107 nt
Filed under: Solanum lycopersicum (tomato)
Lineage: Eukaryota; Viridiplantae; Streptophyta; Magnoliopsida; Solanales; Solanaceae
Source: RNAcentral